Molecule: long non-coding RNA, 574 nt
Filed under: Gallus gallus (chicken)
Lineage: Eukaryota; Metazoa; Chordata; Aves; Galliformes; Phasianidae
Description: long non-coding RNA NONGGAT003146
Source: RNAcentral
GGAGAUCAGAAGGAACUUUUGCUCAUGAGCAAACAUCUCCUAUGGAAGAGCUGGGAAUAGAGAAACUGAGCAAAUGCUCACUGCUUUGUGCAAACAUCACAUAGCUCAGUGCUGCUGAGGAUGGAUGUCCCUUCCGGCAGCACCAGACCUGUUGUUACAGGUAGGGGCCUGCAAGAAGAUGCAACUUGGAGACGUGAUUUCGUGGAGAUGUCAUUUAACAGGAUGAACACUGCAGGGAAGUUUAGCAAUGCUGAGCCUGGACCUGGGUGGAAACCGAGGAUUAGUACUAACCCUGUGGCCAGCUGGCUGCGGCUGCAGCAGAAAUUGUCCUUUUGUGAAGGGGACAUUUGCAGCGGGUCGCACGCAAGCCAUAUGGGUGUGGAAGGCUGAUGGCUGCUGCAGUGGAAGACUCAGCUCCAUUUGCUCCUCACGCAUCCCAGGGACAGCUUGCAGGAUGGCUCUUUGCCGCUGCUCCUAAAAGGCAUCCUGGCCAAAAAUAAAAUGUACCGAGGCAUUUUAAAUUCAGCCUGGAGGCGAUCUCUGUCUGCAGCCCUUGGUUCACAUCACCAUCUGG